Lynx canadensis (Canada lynx) is the source of this 463-nucleotide long non-coding RNA. RefSeq lists it as uncharacterized. The record is from RefSeq and is a predicted model, not a curated record. The transcript has 3 exons. NCBI's taxonomy places the organism in Eukaryota, Metazoa, Chordata, Mammalia, Carnivora, Felidae.
GCAGAAACUCAGGCAGGUCAUGUGCCUGGGGCAGAGAGGGAGCUGCUGGGUUUUUCAAGGAAGCGAUAUCUGGACCAAGGAAGGGGAAUGUGUUAUCUGUGAGAAGGGGGUAAGGCAUUAACUGAUUGACAAGGUCUAGCCAGUUUGGAAACCAGCUGGACAAAUGCCUGGUUAUUUCUACGGAAACGUGCACAUUUCACAUACUUUUCCAAACAGACUUGGGUCUGCUGUGAUGUACGUGAGUAGCUGCAUCAACCUGAUCUCAGCCAAGAAAUCUAGAUCUGCGUGUCCACCAUGAUAGCCUCUAGCCACAUGUGGCUAUUGAGCGUUUGAAAUAUCGCUGGGCCGAGUUGAGAUGUGCUGUAAAUGUAAAACACACGCUGGAGUUCAAAGAUUGAGUAUGUGAAAGAGAAUGUAAAAUAUUUAUAUAUUGCAUAUGUUAAAGUAAUCAUAUUUUGGAUAU